GCUAAACGCGAAGAACCUUACCUACCCUUGACAUGUCUGGAAUCCCGAAGAGAUUUGGGAGUGCUCGCAAGAGAACCGGAACACAGGUGCUGCAUGGCUGUCGUCAGCUCGUGUCGUGAGAUGUUGGGUUAAGUCCCGCAACGAGCGCAACCCUUGCCAUUAGUUGCUACAUUUAGUUGGGCACUCUAAUGGGACUGCCGGUGACAAACCGGAGGAAGGUGGGGAUGACGUCAAGUCCUCAUGGCCCUUAUGGGUAGGGCUUCACACGUCAUACAAUGGUCGGGACAGAGGGUUGCCAAGCCGCGAGGUGGAGCCAAUCUCAGAAACCCGAUCGUAGUCCGGAUCGCAGUCUGCAACUCGACUGCGUGAAGUCGGAAUCGCUAGUAAUCGCGGAUCAGCAUGUCGCGGUGAAUACGUUCCCGGGUCUUGUACACACCG
This 438-nucleotide ribosomal RNA is filed under the name uncultured bacterium. RNAcentral's name for it is "bacterial SSU rRNA". It matches the Rfam family "Bacterial small subunit ribosomal RNA", at positions 954 to 1392 of the family's 1533-position model. The record is from RNAcentral.